CUGUACAGUUCAGAGUUUGAUCCUGGCUCAGGAUGAACGCUAGCGACAGGCCUAACACAUGCAAGUCGAGGGGCAGCAUGGUAGUAGCUUGCUACUAUUGAUGGCGACCGGCGCACGGGUGAGUAACACGUAUGCAACCUGCCUGUAAGCGGGGGAGUAACCCAGAGAAAUCUGGACUAAUACCGCAUAAUAUCACAGUUUCGCAUGUUAUUGUGAUUAAAGAUUUAUUGCUUACAGAUGGGCAUGCGUCUGAUUAGCUAGUUGGCGGGGUAACGGCCCACCAAGGCAACGAUCAGUAGGGGUUCUGAGAGGAAGGUCCCCCACAUUGGAACUGAGACACGGUCCAA
Molecule: ribosomal RNA, 347 nt
Filed under: uncultured bacterium
Lineage: Bacteria
Description: bacterial SSU rRNA
Rfam family: Bacterial small subunit ribosomal RNA
Source: RNAcentral